RNAcentral lists this non-coding RNA (21 nucleotides) under Arabidopsis thaliana (thale cress). Lineage: Eukaryota; Viridiplantae; Streptophyta; Magnoliopsida; Brassicales; Brassicaceae. The record is from RNAcentral.
UAACUUCUAGUUUGAUCAGGG